GCCUCCAUCCCCAAGACUCUCCGCCUCUCAUCGAUCUAACCAUGUCGCCCCGCCACCUCCUACAGGACAAGUCGCCCGAGCCUGCGAACUGCCGCAGCCACAGAUGAUUCACUAUUAAUUUCGGAAGGAUCUCACAGAUUAUGAUGGUUUGUUUUCCAUCGGGAUCUCACAAGAGCUUAUGGUAAUUUCUUCGAUCGGCCAUUGAGAACUCCAGAUCCCUAAAACUUCUUGAAAUUUAUAGGCCCGCUUCACCUGUUCUUCAUUUUUCUCGGAUCAGGUUCGAUGCUUUCUAUGCAGCAUAGUGUCUUCUGAAUUCUUGUGUUCUUGGUCGGGCCCUUUAUUACGGCCAGUUUCACGGGCAGGUCGUCACCCACCGCUCAAGCCACUGAAAAGUUGGUCCUCUUCUACUGUUGUACGUAUAGUGUCUGACUUCUCUGUGCUGAUUGGAUUUAUUUAUUUGUUCCAAGUGCGAACAUCUAGUCUGUGCUUUACUCGAAUCUUAGAUGGAUCAGCCUCUCUGAAUGUUGAUAUAAGCUCUUGCUUCGGGGAAGAUAAGACACAUAUAUAGCUUAGUGCAGAAUUGCGGAAACACGGACGACCGUGCAAUGCCAAUACGUCUCAACAUGUGUUUUCUUAUAUUGACAAGUUAAAUGGAUGAUGCACGACUCGGAUGUUGAUAGUAAGGAUGAGGAUAUUGCUACUACUUGAUAGUGUUGCAGAAUGUUCUUUGUAAUAUAGCAGAGUUUUUUUUUGUCAACGUUUAUAGCAAAAAAUAUGUUCUUUGGGUCAUGUUCUUUGUAAUACAAC
Molecule: long non-coding RNA, 807 nt
Organism: Lolium rigidum
Lineage: Eukaryota; Viridiplantae; Streptophyta; Magnoliopsida; Poales; Poaceae
Exons: 4
Source: RefSeq, a predicted model, not a curated record